UCGGGAAUUUUGGGCAAUGGGCGAAAGCCUGACCCAGCAACGCCGCGUGAAGGAUGAAGUAUUUCGGUAUGUAAACUUCGUAAGAAUAGGAAGAAUAAAUGACGGUACUAUUUGUAAGGUCCGGCUAACUACGUGCCAGCAGCCGCGGUAAUACGUAGGGACCAAGCGUUGUUCGGAUUUACUGGGCGUAAAGGGCGCGUAGGCGGUGUGUCAAGUCAGUUGUGAAAUCUCCGAGCUUAACUCGGAACGGUCAACUGAUACUGUCACACUAGAGUACAGAAGGGGCAAUCGGAAUUCUUGGUGUAGCGGUGAAAUGCGUAGAUAUCAAGAGGAACACCUGAGGCGAAGGCGGGUUGCUGGGCUGAUACUGACGCUGAGGCGCGAAAGCUAGGGUAGCAAACGGGAUUAGAUACCCUCGUAGUCCCUGAGCGGGCUGGCAAGGCGCAU
This 447-nucleotide ribosomal RNA is filed under the name uncultured bacterium. RNAcentral describes it as "bacterial SSU rRNA". It matches the Rfam family "Bacterial small subunit ribosomal RNA", at positions 355 to 825 of the family's 1533-position model. The record is from RNAcentral.